CUCAGGGCUAAUCUUCCUCAAAAGAAAAAAAAAGAAGAGAUGGUAGUGUUCUGAAACCUUGAAGGAUUGAUCAGAAUUUUGAUAAGAUGCUAGAGUGAGGGUGUACCAUAGAAUGAGGAAUGGUCUGAGAUAAGACAGAGUCAAAGACAGGAUAUGAGAGUCCUCUUGGGAUAAAAUCUAGAAGAGGGACAAGAUGUUGACACCAAAUUUUUGAAGUUUUUGCAUUUUAAGUGAAGUGGUUGAAUCAAUAAGCUGUUGCUGUGUAACAAAGAAACCUGAAACUUAGAGGCUUAAAACAACAACUGUGUAUUAUUUCUCACAGGUCUCUGGGUUGCUCAGAAGUGUUUUUCUGACAUGGUUCGGGCUUGGCUGAUCUCGAUUGGACUUUCUUGUACACAUACUGAGCUACAGAUUUGGAAAAUAUCACAAUCAGAGUGCUGUCUACCCUCCCAUUCAAAACCUGGCUUCUUCAGCUCCUGUUACCAAACUCUCUACUUUAGUCAAGAAGGUCUUCAAGAUAUUCUAGAGGCAAAAAUGAUAGGCCUCCAAAGGAAUGGAAUAUAAUAUGAAUAAGUGAAUGAAUGGCUGAAUGGAAAGUCUUAAGGAAUGCAAAGUACGUCAUCAGGAAACAGUAAAGAACUCUCACGUAUUUUGUAAUUCUGCCCCCCAAAGACUUCAUUGCAUCCCGGUUUUAUAGUGUACAUCACAGCAACUUUCUUUAAAAAGGUGAGUUACUAAUUUGAAAAAAUUAGAAUUUUUCCAAGAAGAUUGCUAGAAUCUCCUUUCCUCACUCUCCUUCCAGGAAAGAGAGGCCAACACUGAAUUUUCUAAUAGCUGGAGCUGUGCUUAUAGCAUUUUCUCUCUCUCCCUCUUCCCAAGAUUGGUAAGUAUGGCGCUUUGGAGUUUCAUGCCCAGGGAGAAGAAUUUACCUGGAUUCCAAAGAGGAAGAUGUGGGGGCUAAUGAUUAGGAUCUCGAAGCUUUUAGGGGGCUAACUUGAAAAUAAGAGAUGAUUUUGGAGAGGGGGUAGGGUGAGGGUGUAUCUCUGGGUCUAAGAAGAAUGGAGUUUUGAGGGCUUUCUGUGUCCGGCAGAGACCCAGGCUGGCUUCAUUCCACAUCCUGGACAGAAGAAUUGCCAUUGGAGGCUGAAGAUGGAUGAAAAUAGGGCUUGAGAGCAUUGGAGGGGAACUCUGUGGGCAUGUCUGCUGUCAGUGGAGUAGGCUUCGUGUGGAGUGUCCUGAGCAUAUUAGUUAUCUGUUGCUGCUUAACAAAUUGUCACAAGCCUAUCAAUUUAUAGCAGCACACACCUAUUAUCUCACAGUUCCCGUGAGUUAGGAGUCCAAUUAUGACUUAGCUGGAGCUUCUUCUCAGGGUCUCAUGAAGGUGUAAUCAAGGUGUUAUCCAGGCUUGUUCCUUUCUGGAGCUUGAGGUCUUCUUCUUGGUAGAAUUCAGUUCCUUAUGGCUGUAAGACUAAGGUUUUAUUGCUGGCUAUCAGUUGGGUCCAUUCUUAUCACCUAUGUGUUGCCUGCAAUUCUUUCUCAUACGGCUCUCUAAACAGGGUGGUUUAUUUCUUUAAGGCCAGCAGGAUAAUCUCUUGCCUCUGGGAUGGCUCAGUUGCCCUUUGAAGGGCUUUGAUUAAUCCAAAUCUACCUGAUUAAUUUAGCUCCACCCUGGAAAAUCUCCAUUUACUCAGAUUCAACUGGUUUGGGAUUUAAAUUACAAAUCACUUCACCUUUGCAAUAUUAUAUUAGCUGGAGGCCAGGUGCAGAUCCCACCCACCCUCAAGGGCAGGGAAUUACAUGAAGGCAGGGAUACCAGAAGGUGGUAGUCAUUGGGGGUUGUCCUAGAGUCUGUCCCACACACUGAAGGGACAUGGUAGAGGCAUGAACACAACAUCAAGAUUAGGUCACAGAAGGAGCACUGGUAAAUAUGAUGUCCUAGUGGGCCAGAGGCCUGGCCCUUUUCCUAUUUCCUGGCUUCUAAAAGGCCCAUGAUUCUUGCAUGAGCCCAUUGACAAGGAGAGAGAGACUGAGUAAUGAUGGGUGUUAAUAAAAAUUCCUCAAAAAUUGGACAUAAAGCAAAAGAUGGGUGACUUGUUUCUUCAAUGUCAUUCAGAGGUGCAGGCCCACCCUGGAUUAGGCAAAUGCGAGUUCUUCAACUCACCCUUUACUAUUGAUAGAGGUCUCACACUUAGUGAAGCUCUAUGCUAUCUUUCAGAUUUUUGUUCAGUAGAGAUGCAAUUUAUUUCCAAUCAGUAAAAGAGAUCACCUCAAAGGUUAUGGUUUAUCACCCUGUUAGACAUUAACUAGUUUUAUAUCUAACCCCAGCAAUCCUAUCCUAACCUACCUUUAUUAACUUGCCUAUAAAUACCUAUCUUUUCUAAUGUGUUUUUGGGCUAGUUUUAACAACUUUCUGUUCUCUCAGUAAUCCAUGAGUUGAAUAAAUCUUUGACACAUGUUCAUUUUAUAUUUGCCUGAGCGAUAUAAUGCUAUCUUUUGAAAAUUAUGUGUUAACAGUAGGAUAGAAUUUUUCAUCAACCAAGCAGGAGAAUAGGGUUUAUUUGAAUAUGAGAAAUAAACAAAAGUGAAUUUUCUAACCCAAUACUAUGGCAUACAAUUCAUAGCCUUCACAGUCCUCUCAAAUUCUAAGAGGAAAUAAAUCUUUUUCCCAUGUUCUUUUGGGGGAAGGAAGGAAAUAAAUCCACCAGUAGCCACCUAACUUCUUCCUGUGCACUUAUAAAAGCAUAAUCUAUGGUCUGCAGGUUUGAGAGAAUAAUACUUAACUACCAGGUGUGGCAGUGAUGGAGCAGUGGUGAAACACGGAGACUGGAGUCAAAGAUUCAUUGUGAGGGCAGAGCAUACAGGUCAGAGACCCUGUCACAGUGCUCUGCUGAGUUGUAGCUCAGAUUGAGCACUCGCAGAUAUGACGAAAUUCUAACAAAAUCCUCAAAUGUUGUCCAGGCAUGAUUGGAUCUGGCUCUGGAUAUAUGCAGUGCAGUCCAAUUACAUAUAAAUUUCAUCCAGUAAAUUAAAUUUAUUUAUAAAUAUAUAUGCCUUUUAUUAUGCAUAGUUUAUUUAUUUUACUCAUUAUAUAUAAAUGUAUAGACAGACAUACAUUAUUCAUAUAUAUGCAUUAUACAUAUGAAUGCAUGUGUUAUGGUAAUUUUGACUUCAUGCUGUUUUCAUCUUCCACAUUUACUUUACAACAUAAUGCUCUUGGACAAGAUCUGACGCCACUGCACAUGUUCCCAAGGCUGGCAUUGGAUGGCUACUUCACAAAUGCUUAGGUCUGUGUUGCAUAAAAUGUUUUUCGCAGAAGAUGGUGGAAGAACUGUUGUCUCAGGCUGAGUCCUGCUUAGACUUCUUGUAGACGCUGUGUGCCCCACCCAGAACCCUUUUACAUGGCCGGUGGAUGCAGCAGCUACCACAGGUGUCAGUGGUUAAGAGCACAUAGCUGUCCUUCAUACCUCUUUUCUAGAGUAUUAUCUCAAUCAACAGGAGCUGCUUUUCCCAGAAACAUUUGGAAAUUAUUCCCCUUACCCCAGAGUGGAGGCAGCCCAAAGCCAAUGACUGAUAUCAGGGCACAAAGCUGGACCCCUUACCUCAAGGAGAUGAUAACACUGUGGUACCAUUCACACUCCAGACUCUCUGUGUGAUUAGUCUGAGGCUAGACUCAGAUGACAUCACAUCCUUACUUGGCUCCUUCCUUUGCCCUAUCCUGCAUCCCUUACUUCUCUUCUCUUGGGAGCUCACUUUCAAUAGUCACUUGCACAAAAACCCCCAUCUUGAGGCUCUUCAUUCAGGGUACCCAACCUAAAACCCUCUGAACCUAUUUUCCUACUGUGAGUCAUCCCUAAAGGUUGAUAGUGUACCAAAGAUAGGUCAACCUGACGAAUACACCUUCCAGUAUUGAAGCCUCCGUUACCCAAUGAGAAUGGGAAAUGAUGCAUCCCACAUAACUAAAUUUCUACCACUUAAGCCCUGAAACUAUUUUACCAAUAGGAGCUGUUGGAAAAUAAUUUUGUGACAUCAAUGAAGUGAGAAAUUUCCUGGGCUUGAAAUCAUAAGACCUUAUUUUUCAACCAGACUCCAUAGUUAACUUAUUCUGUGGAUGUAGGCAAGGCCCUUCGCUGGAGGCUCAUUGUCAUUGUUGACAAGAUGGGGAUCAUCCAAUUCUCCCGAUCACUUUGUAGAUUGCUGUGAGGGACCAAUUGAUAAUGAAUGUGAAAGCAUUUUGAAAACUGCCAAGUGGAUUUAUUAGUCCCGAUUCUCUUGUAUGCAAGAGAAAAUAGCCAUCAACUUAGAAAGGGUCUGUAAAAGCUUGUGUGUCUAAGGAGUUCACAGUGUGAGACGAGGAUCCGAUUCAGGAAUUCGGUCACCACUGGAAUUUUGUCUUCCCUCCAAUUUCUUAGCAACUCUGAUAUCUUUUUAGCGUUGUUCUAAGAAAGGCUCUCUGUAUGUGGAAGAAAGGCGGUUUCAGUUAGCAUUCCUCCAUUCCCACCACCUAUCCAGGCUUCAGAGCAUCCUUAGAGCUUAUGAUCCAGGGGAGAAGAGGACAACUUUCUGCAUAACUUGGGAAAAAAUCAGGGGGCAAACUGUUGGGGCAGGCUUGGGUCAUGUGCCCAUCCCUGAAGCAAUGGCUGUGUGCUAUAGAAGGGAAUACGCUAAUUGGACAGAACCAGGUUUUAUGCCCUCUUCUAGGGUCAUGGAGUUCAGCUCCACCAGAACCAAAUGGAACAAUCAGAAAUGCUGUGGGAUGUGGAAGUGAUAAUUUUCCUAAAAACCAGGUAAUGGUUCAAAAACUAUAUGUACACUAUGGUACUGUGCAAUUUAAAUGCCAUAAUAAUUAUCAAACAGAAUAUAUAAAACUUUCAUUGCAAUCAUCUCAAGACCAUUAAUAACUAAACAGUCCUCCUAGUAUAUUAUACUAUUGUGAUGCUGUGAAUGGUGUGUAGGGUUGCUAAUAUCUAUGUUAAAUUGUCUCAUACUCUUAAAUGUUGUUGAUUGCUUGUGUCUAUAUUUCUUCUGUAGUUUUUGUAUUCUAUUCUUGUCUUUUAUUGCAGUUUUAAUAUAUUUGCUUCAAGUGUCUUCCACCCAAUCUGCUAUGAAUCACGAAUCCAGAGAACCAUGUUAAAAUAGAAGUUUGUUUAAAAUAAGAGUAUGUAGGUUUUGAGAGAGAUUCCCUCUUCUAAGAAAAGUCCACGGACGUUGUGACAUCUUAUUUCAUUGCUUAGAAGCCUUUUGUUCUUAGCCGUUUUCUGAGUUGAGACUUCUGGUUUUAGAGACAAAAAUGGUUUUUUCUAUCUCAAAAUAUAGCUAAUAUUAAGGAGUCUAGAGUGGAUAUCUAGAAUUUAGGGGUUUUAUUCCACUGAUACGGGGUCAGGUGAAUUGUAGCACAAGAGUUGAAUUCAGAACAAGAAGACUUUGAUUAUAUUUCUAGUUCUUCCACUUAGUGGUUAAAUCAGGUUAGUUCAAUACUUAUUAUUGAGGCACUUUCUUUAUGCAAGCUUGAGUGAUAGAUGCCAGUGAUAUAAGAGGGGCUCAUGAAAUAACUUUUGAGUUAUUUAUUACUAUACAACCAUUCACCCCAAAACUUAGUGGCUUAAAGCAACAAUCACUUUAUUCCAUCAUGAUUCUGCAGUCUGGACUUGGCUUGGCUGGGCUGUUCUUUUCCUGGCUCCCUUCAAGUCUCUCAUGAGGCUGCAGUUGUUUGAAGUCUAAACUGAGGCUGGAGGAUCCAGAAAGAUUUCACUCGCGAAUCUGGUACCUCAAUGCUUCUCUUCAUGGUCUCUCUUUUCACAUAGUCUCAUCAACCUUUAUUAUAGCACGGCAGCUGGUUCAAAGAAUGAGUAUACCAAGAAGCAAGGCCAUAUGUACUUGCAUCAUGCUUGCUAAUGUCCCAUUGGCAAUGGCCAGACGCAUACUCAAUCAAGUCCAUACUCAAUGCUGGAGGAGAACACACAAUGGCAAGAAUACCAGGAGGUGAGUUUCAUUGGGUGUUACCAAAGUAACAGCCCACCACAAGUGGGUCUGACUCAAUCAGUGAUUUUCAAAAUGUGUUCUUUGGAAUCACUAGAACUCCAAACAGCCCUUCCGGGUGAAGCAGGUAAGCCUCACUUCAACAGCAAGAAUUUCGCUUCAAAUAUUGGGUAUUAGCAGUUAAGAUUUCUAUUGAGGAAAGUGUUCCACUACCAAGAUUUUAUAUACUUUAAAAUCAUUGAACUAUAUGAUCUCUUACAAGUUAAACAUUUUAUGAUUUUUAUGACUCCAGAAGUUCUCGGGCCACUUCGUUGAUCUGUCCUUGGAUGAUGGCACAUAUUCUUAUCUACUCCACUGGAUACCUGCCAAGGUGGAUGCACUAAUGUCUCCACAUCACUUAGAGGUCUUCAACAGAGACAUUGAAUGCAUCCAUUGCAUUUCAAUUCACUUUCUGCACCACAUCCUGCAUAAGGAAAUACCUCCUUCAUUUAGAAAGUUAAUAUCCAUAAUUAUGAGCACUUACGAAUUUAGAGGCAGGUGUUAACAUUAAAGAGAUCAGUAGUGCGAACAUAUAUUCCUUUGAAAUGCGCUAUCCUGUGUAUGUGACUGUGGCAUCACUGUUCCUUUGUCAAUAGCACAUACUAUUCUAUUUCUAAAAUUGCAGGUACUUUGCAAAUAAUAACUGUAACAGCUAUCAGUUAUGGAAACUUUAUCAUGUUCCAGACACUGUGCUAAGCUCUUUUCAUCUUAGCCCUCUAAUCUUGACAAAACCCUUGAAAAAGUGAUAUUAUUUUUAUUCCCACUGAAUGAACAAAGAAGGAAAAUGAGGUUUAGUAACUGAUUCAAAUGCACGUAGCUAAAAGGUUAGUGAUGGAGCUGGGAUAUGAACCCAGGACUUUCAGGCCACAAAACCAAUCCUCUUCUCCUCCGCCAUUCUGUAGUCCUCCCAUGCCUCCCCAUUCCUCUCGUGUUUACGGAGCUAAGCUAAGAUAUGGGGUUUUGGUACAUAGAAAAGGAAGGCACCUGUCAGCACAAGGCUGGACUAGCAGCACAGCUUCUCGAUCCUGGCUGCAUGUUGAAAUAAUCCAGGGAGCUUUUAACAAAUGCUGAUGGUUGAGUCCCCCUCUCUUGGGACAGCCUGGGCAUUGGGUUUUUUAAAUGCUCCCCAGGUAGAUCUAACUAUGCAGCCAGGGCUGAGAACCACUGAUUUAGAGGAACCACCUGGUAACAAAGUGUCUCCAAGAGCCACUUGCAGGACCCUGACUAUUUCAUGUCAUUGCAGAUAGUACUUCUGUAUGGAAUGCUCUUACUUCCUUGUUCUUUGAAAAACUCCUAAUCAAGCUUCAAAAUCCAGACCCAGUGAGCAAAAGGAAAUAAUCAAGAGAAAGGAAAAGCAUGCAAAUAUUCAAAUUGACAUUAUAUAAAUAUCUGGGUUCACGAUCAUCAACUGCCUCUCAGGUUUUCCUAGCACAUCCUCCUUCACAUCCUGAUAGCUUCCACCUGAAGAACUCCCACUUCGUAAUUCUUGGGCUCUACUGUCUGCCCCAAGCCUUUUGGGGCUUCUCAACUUUAGAAAAGAUGUUCCAAUCACACCAGUUUCUGGGGAUCCACUGGCAGGUGACCGGAGAGGGGGGAAUAAUGCCAGUCCUUCAGCUUCAGCCUUUUGCUGAUCUGCUCUGAACAGAGACGAGUCUAGUGAGGGUGUGCAGUGGGCUGCAGCACUGACAGCUGACAGCGCCACUGAGGUUCCUGUGUGCCUUCUUUCAUGGGAGGCUGUGGUUUAUUUAUUAGGAUUAGGGCGAUUUACUCUCAUCACUUUAUCCUACAAAAUUAGUUGGAUUUUAGGGGACAUGAAAAAAAAACAGAAAAAAAUAGAAAAUGGAAAACCACGACAGGGACAAUAACACUUUAUGUAAUGUCUAUAUAUGUACAUAGACAUAUACACAUUCACAUAUUGUAUAAUAUAUAUUUGCCACACAUCAGACUCAAAUGAGCUUAAAUUCUCCCAAGUUCCACCUUGUUUAUUAAGACCUAUUAUGACUUUUAAAAGUAUUAAAAUGGUUAGAUGAGCACUUAAAGCUUCUCUAAUUGGUUUCCAUUCAUUUCAUCUCACAAAGUAAGUUACAAGCUUCUUGACAACUCUGUUUCCCACUGUAUGAUUAUAUCAGCAUCGUCAUCCUCCUCAUCUUCAUGGCUAACAGUUAUAUAGAACUUACCAUUCGCUGGACACUUUUCUAAGCAUGUUAAACAUAUAUACUCUAUUCCCUUCUUUGUGCUGCUUUGAAUUUUAAAAAAUAUUUGCUACCUUUACUAUUAUAAGUUGCUAUCUAAUGUGCAUUGCUUUUGUUAUCAUAAAGUGCGAAGGCGGCUUGCAAGAUUUUGGGUCAAGUAUAAACUUUCCUGUAACCCCAUCUCGUGCUCUCAUCCUAGAAAGGUCAGAAACCAGACUUAGAGAGUCAUGGAAGGAGGAGCUGGAAGGGAGAAGGAACUUCCCAUAGCCCCCUCCUUCCUGAAUGGCAAGGUUCUGCCUGCGGCAGGCCAGCGAGGGCCUUUGACAGUUCCAGGGACUAGGCGUUUUCCUCACUAUUCUAAUUUACUAAUUGAAAGUCACGGGGCAUUUAUUAUACAGCUGUGACCAGAUAGUCCAGGGGCCUGCUAAAUUUUUUAUCCAGGGGAAAGGGAAGAACCAGCGAAGAAUAGAUUGAAAAAGAUAGUAGGAGAAAAAAUAAAGUUAGCUUUAUGAUUAACCCACUCCUAACAUAAGUCGUCUUUUCAUUUAAUGUUUAUUAUUUGUUUGCAUACAUACAUAUGUGUGUGUGUGUGUAUAUAUAUACACAUAUAUCAUAUACGUACACAGAGAUAGAGAAAACUGAUGAUUUUGAAAUUUUUUGCACUAGGUCUAAUGAAUGUAAUCUACCUUUGGUAUUUUUUUAAGAGUCUGCAAAAAGGUUUUGGCUACUUUUCUACAAUUUCUGCAUAUGGGAUUGAUAUUUCUUCUGAUUUUGGCACUAUGUUGAGAUAGGCCUUAAUGAGACUCAGAUUUACUCAGUUAUGUAUGUAAAAAUAUUAUUGGGAGGUAGAAGAAUCACCUAGUUAGCUUUGUUGUCACCAAAGAAGGCUCUUUGUGUAGAGAAUAGUGUUUGAACAUGGCUUUGAAGGAUGAACAGAUAGGUAGUAUAUCAAAGUAGUUAAAGGCAAGAUCUUAAGAGGUUGAAAAGCCUAGAUUCGAAUACCACACUGUCUUCUUUUCAGCUGAGGGAUGCAGGAUGAUCAUUCCAACCUAAGUUGCAAAAUGAGGAUUAUUAAUAUUUAUUCACACAUGUAGCUGUGCAUUUUAUUAAACAUGAAUUUAACUAUAAUUUAAUAAUUAUAUGACAUAUAAUAUUAUUUAUCAUAGAUUUACAAUACAAUACAGGCAUUGUCUCUGGAUUUAUGAGUAUUAAAAGAUAUAACUCUAACUAAUGUGCCAAGCAUAGGGCCUGUCUACUAGGAAGUGUUCAAAAAAGUGGCAGUAGCUGCUCCCACCACCAGAAAUUGGCCAGACCAUCAAAUAGGGAAUGAGCUCCCAGGGAGAAGGAAGAGCACACGGAGGUGUGUUUACAACAUGCAGAUCAUGCCAUGGAGAACCCGAGAAUAGAAAGCCUCUUUGAGAUGGUCUGGUAAAGGGAAAUGGAAACCAAUGAAUGGAAAUGGGAACGUCAGAACUGAGAGCAGAACUUUGGCAUCUUAAUCUAGGUCUGCGCACCCCCCUCCUUGGUUUCAUUUGCAUCCUUUUAUCUCUGGAAUGACAUCCCGACAGCACAUUAGAAAGCUUUCCAGAGCAGGUAAGAGCCAGCGUGGGGAAAUGGAACGGCCCCGCUAACUAGUCAUGGUGGUCCCCACACAGCCUUUUAUAUUGGAAUUAAUCUUUUAUUAAGAGAGAAAAUUAUGCCCUACUGCUUUGGGGGCUUUUUGCUCAUGGUUACACGUGCCAUGGGAAGCCCAGGCUCGUCUCGAGGGCCUCAGUCAAAGGCAAUCUUCUUCUAACAUCUCCUUCGGAAGCUGAGGGUCUCAAGAGGCUAGCGUCGUUUUUCUUUUUUGUUCGUGUGAAGUGAGGAAUUUGAGCACAAAAUAUACUGUUGGCUGCUUACUAAAUCCCCUCUUUUCGUGCAGGCUGCUAGGAGAAAUUCAAAGUUUGAGUGAUGCUGUAAAGCAGACAGAGCAAGCUUAAAAAGGAAUUUGGGAGUCAAGGUGUGUUCAUGCUCCUUCGAGAAAUCAGAGUUGUGUGUGCAGAUCACGGGAGGGAGAUCCUUAGCCUUUGGUGGUGAUGCUAAGAAAGGAGACAUGUUGAUUAACGUAUCCGACACGCGUGAGUUGAGGGCCUGUUGUGUGCAUAGUGCUACAUAGGGCCUGGAGUCUGCCCGUGAAGCUCUCAGAAUCUGCCGGAGUUGAGAAGGCUCCAAGUAAGAACUUCAAACCAAGGUCAGGAUGUUUCUGGGGCUGAGGCAAAGUGCUGAGUGAGAGACAAGGGUGAGGGCAGGAAGUGAUCUCCAGGGUACUGUGAUGGGGCAGGCACAACUGCGCAGGACUGGAAGGAAGGGCGCAGACAUCCCUUCAAGAGAGGCAUGAGGAGUGUGUUCCAGGACAAAGGAGCAUCCUGGACAAGGGAGAGGUGUCAAGAGAUAACCUAGUGAGUGUUGUGGCUGCGGACUGCCUCUCCUGCAGGGAGGAGGAACUCAUAAAUGGGAACAAAGCUUCUCGCAUUCCUGGGAAUUUUAAACAUAAAAACUAGGUGGAAUUAAGUGAUACAUUGCCUUUUUGGAGAUUAAACACUGCACACAUGUAAAGACAGAACUGGAUAGUGGUUGAGAGCACUAGGUUGGGUAUUAAUAGAGACUCAAUGCCUGACACUGUCUUUUCUUAGCUGGCUGAGCUGGGUUUGUUUCUUAAACUCUCUGUACAAAAAGGCUAAUAGUAGCUUGCUUGUGGCUGGUGAGAAUUCAGGUAGAUGGUACGUGUAAGUACGUUGCCCAUUUUCUGGCAUGUGGUAAAUAUGCAAUAGAUUUGACUAUUGUAUUGUAAUUACCUGGCCAGCUCCUCUUCCAUCCCUAAGAUAAAGCAAUGAAAUCAUAAAACUAUAGCUAAUGUAUAAGCAUUAAAAAUAAUGCUUCUUCUCUAAUUUGCAAUCUUGGUUUUCAGUUCGUAAACCACACAUGUGAGGUUUCAGAGAGAUUUGGAAUUUGGGAAAGAAGAGGAAUGGAGGCUUUGGUGGAAUUUUGGAGAAAAGUGUCCCAGAAGUCAAAUAGUAGACUCAUCCUCAUGGGCCCUGAGGCUGAGGGUGCACACAAAUAGGGAGAUUUGAGGGAAUGGAGUCUUUUUAUGACAGUAGGAAAACCUUUCAAUAACAAAG
Molecule: non-coding RNA, 11365 nt
Organism: Equus caballus (horse)
Lineage: Eukaryota; Metazoa; Chordata; Mammalia; Perissodactyla; Equidae
Source: RefSeq, a predicted model, not a curated record